This 301-nucleotide ribosomal RNA is filed under the name uncultured bacterium. Its description in RNAcentral is "partial 16S ribosomal RNA". It matches the Rfam family "Bacterial small subunit ribosomal RNA", at positions 509 to 807 of the family's 1533-position model. The record is from RNAcentral.
CAGCAGCCACGGUAAUACGAAGGGUGCAAGCGUUAAUCGGAAUUACUGGGCGUAAAGCGUGCGUAGGCGGUUUGUUAAGUCUGCUGUGAAAUCCCCGGGCUCAACCUGGGAAUGGCAGUGGAUACUGGCAAGCUAGAGUGUGUCAGAGGAUGGUGGAAUUCCCGGUGUAGCGGUGAAAUGCGUAGAGAUCGGGAGGAACAUCAGUGGCGAAGGCGGCCAUCUGGGACAACACUGACGCUGAGGCACGAAAGGGUGGGGAGCAAACAGGAUUAGAUACCCCCGUAGUCCCUGUCUCUUAUAC